This 1332-nucleotide long non-coding RNA is filed under the name Chloebia gouldiae (Gouldian finch). Its description in RNAcentral is "Erythrura gouldiae (Gouldian finch) lncRNA (ENSEGOG00005018125.1)". Lineage: Eukaryota; Metazoa; Chordata; Aves; Passeriformes; Passeridae. The record is from RNAcentral.
UGGGGAUGUUCUGGGGGUGUUUUGGGGAUAUUUUGGGGAUAUUUUAAGGAUGUUUUGGGGAUAUUUUGGGGACGUUCUGGGGAUGUUCUGGGGACGUUUUGGGGAUGUUCUGGGAAUGUUUUGGGGAUAUUUGGGGAUUGUCUGGGGAUGUUUUGGGGAUAUUUUGGGGACAUUCUGGGGAUGUUUCGGGGACGUUCUGGGGACAUUCCGGGGACCUUCUGGGGACGUUCCAGGGAUGUUUUGGGGAUAUUUUGUGGAUAUUUUGGGGACAUUCUGGGGACAUUCUGGGGACAUUUUGUGGAUAUUUUGGGGAUAUUUUGGGGACGUUCCGGGGAUGUUUCGGGGACGUUUUGGGGACGUUCCGGGGAUGUUUUGGGGAUAUUUUGUGGAUAUUUUGGGGACGUUCCGGGGACGUUUCAGGGACGUUUUGGGGACAUUCUGGGGACGUUUUGGGGACGUUUUGGGGAUGUUUUGGGGACGUUUUGGGGACAUUCUAGGGACGUUCCGGGGAUGUUUCAGGGACGUUUCGGGAACGUUUUGGGGAUAUUUUGGAGCCGUUCCGGGGAUGUUCUGGGGACAUUCUGGGGACAUUCCGGGGAUGUUUCGGGGCCGUUCCGGGGCCGUUCCGGGGCCGUUCCGGGGCCGUUCGGGCUCCGUACCUGCUCCUGCAGCGUGGCCGGGCCCCGCGAGCGCAGCCGCAGCGUCCCCCGGCCCGAGAGACCCUGGGGGGGCCCCCCCCGGGCCGAGACCCCCCCGGAGCGGGGCCCGACCCCGUCUGGGGACACAGGGGGGACACGGGGGGGACACAGAGGGGACACGGGGGGGACAUUGGGGACAUUGGGGGAACAUUGGGGUCACACAGGGGUCACAGAGGGGUCAGAGAAGGACAGAGGGGACAGAGGGGACAGGGAGGGGACACAGGAGAUCCCCACUGUGGGGGCACCUUCGGAACCCCCCCCAAUACAGCCCAGUAUGGCCCAGUGCUCCCAGUUCAUCCCAGUGCUCCCAGUACAGCCAUCCCAGUGCUCCCAGUACAGCCCAGUGCUCCCAGUACAGCCCAGUGCUCCCAGUACAGCCCAGUGCUCCCAGUACAGCCCAGUGCUCCCAGUACAGCCAGCCCAGUGCUCCUAGUACAGCCCAGUACUCCCAGUACAGCCAGCCCAGUACAGCCCAGACCCUCCCACUCAAUCCCAGUUCAAUCCCAGUCCCUCCCAGUUCAAUCCCAGUCCCUCCCAGUCCAUCCCAGUUCAAUCCCAGUCCCUCCCAGUCCCCCCAGUCUCACCCCAGGCCCUCCUGGGCUCGGUGAGCCGCAGCUGGAAGCGGUGCCCGCGG